GGGGCAGCAUGGUCUUAGCUUGCUAAGGCUGAUGGCGACCGGCGCACGGGUGAGUAACACGUAUCCAACCUGCCGUCUACUCUUGGCCAGCCUUCUGAAAGGAAGAUUAAUCCAGGAUGGCAUCAUGAGUUCACAUGCCCGCAUGAUUAAAGGUAUUUUCCGGUAGACGAUGGGGAUGCGUUCCAUUAGAUAGUAAGCGGGGUAACGGCCCACCUAGUCAACGAUGGAUAGGGGUUCUGAGAGGAAGGUCCCCCACAUUGGAACUGAGACACGGUCCAAACUCCUACGGGAGGCAGCAGUGAGGAAUAUUGGUCAAUGGGCGAUGGCCUGAACCAGCCAAGUAGCGUGAAGGAUGACUGCCCUAUGGGUUGUAAACUUCUUUUAUAAAGGAAUAAAGUCGGGUAUGCAUACCCGUUUGCAUGUACUUUAUGAAUAAGGAUCGGCUAACUCCGUGCCAGCAGCCGCGGUAAUACGGAGGAUCCGAGCGUUAUCCGGAUUUAUUGGGUUUAAAGGGAGCGUAGAUGGAUGUUUAAGUCAGUUGUGAAAGUUUGCGGCUCAACCGUAAAAUUGCAGUUGAUACUGGAUGUCUUGAGUGCAGUUGAGGCAGGCGGAAUUCGUGGUGUAGCGGUGAAAUGCUUAGAUAUCACGAAGAACUCCGAUUGCGAAGGCAGCCUGCUAAGCUGCAACUGA
RNAcentral lists this ribosomal RNA (690 nucleotides) under uncultured Bacteroidales bacterium. RNAcentral's name for it is "bacterial SSU rRNA". It matches the Rfam family "Bacterial small subunit ribosomal RNA", at positions 66 to 743 of the family's 1533-position model. Lineage: Bacteria; Pseudomonadati; Bacteroidota; Bacteroidia; Bacteroidales. The record is from RNAcentral.